Molecule: ribosomal RNA, 1539 nt
Filed under: metagenome
Description: bacterial SSU rRNA
Rfam family: Bacterial small subunit ribosomal RNA
Source: RNAcentral
AGAGUUUGAUUCUGGCUCAGAACGAACGCUGGCAGCGUGGAUUAGGCAUGCAAGUCGAACGAUAAUUCGUGGAUUCAAUCUUUCGGGAGAGAAUCUGCGGAGGACAGUGGCGGAAGGGUGAGUAACGCGUGGGCAAUCUGCCUCUAAGUUGGGGACAACCCCUCGAAAGGGGGGCUAAUACCGAAUGUGGUCGUCCCGCUAUGCGGGAUUGAUUAAAGGUGGGGAUCUUUCGGGACCUGCCGCUUGGAGAGGAGCCCGCGUCCGAUCAGCUUGUUGGUGGGGUAACGGCCCACCAAGGCGUCGACCGGUAGCUGGUCUGAGAGGAUGGUCAGCCACACUGGGACUGAGACACUGCCCAGACUCCUACGGGAGGCUGCAGUCGAGGAUCACUCGCAAUGCGCGAAAGCGUGACGAUGCGACGCUGCGUGGAGGAUGACGGCCUUCGGGUUGUAAACUCCUGUCAUGAGGGAAAAGCUGUCCCGGUGUUAAUACCGCCGGGAUUCGAUGGUACCUCAAGAGGAAGCCACGGCUAACUCUGUGCCAGCAGCCGCGGUAAUACAGAGGUGGCGAGCGUUGUUCGGAUUUACUGGGCGUAAAGGGUGCGUAGGUGGUCUCGUGUGUUGGAUGUGAAAGCCCACGGUUCAACUGUGGAACGGCAUUCGAAACUGCGGGACUAGAGUCCAGGAGGGGAGAGCGGAAUUCUUGGUGUAGCGGUGAAAUGCGUUGAUAUCAAGAAGAACACCGGUGGCGAAGGCGGCUCUCUGGAAUGCGACUGACACUGAGGCACGAAAGCUGGGGGAGCGAACAGGAUUAGAUACCCUGGUAGUCCCAGCUGUAAACGGUGUGCACUUGGUGUAGGGGGUAUUGACCCCCCCUGUGCCGGAGCUAACGCGUUAAGUGCACCGCCUGGGGAGUACGGCCGCAAGGCUAAACUCAAAGAAAUUGACGGGGGCCCGCACAAGCGGAGGAGCAUGUGGCUUAAUUCGAUGCAACGCGAAGAACCUUACCAGGGUUUGACAUGUACCUGCAUGCCCCCUGAAAGGGGGGAGGCCUUCGAGGGUGGUACACAGGUGCUGCAUGGCUGUCGUCAGUUCGUGCCGUGAGGUGUUGGGUUAAGUCCCGCAACGAACGCAACCCCUGUGUUUAGUUGCCACCGCAGGUGAUGAGCCUGCGAGCACUCUAAACAGACCGCCCGUACAAGCGGGAGGAAGGUGGGGACGACGUCAAGUCAGUAUGGCCCUUACACCCUGGGCUGCACACGUGCUACAAUGACCGGUACAGGGGGAAGCAAUGCCGCGAGGUGGAGCAAAUCCCCAAAACCGGCCCCAGUUCGGAUUGGAGUCUGCAACUCGACUCCAUGAAGUCGGAUUCGCUAGUAACGGCGCAUCAGCUACGGCGCCGUGAAUACGUUCCCGGGCCUUGUACACACCGCCCGUCACAUCAUGAAAGCCGUCUGCACCCGAAGUCACUGGGCUAACCCGCAAGGGGAGUAGGUGCCGAAGGUGUGGGUGGUGAUUGGGAUGAAGUCGUAACAAGGUA